AUCAAAACAUGGAUGCAAAGAGUUUACUGCUAUGACAACAGAGAAAAAAUAAAUGUUUAUAAAUAUAUGGAUGGAUGGAUGGAUAGUAGGGGUGUAGUGGUACAUAUAUUCAUCCCGAACCAUCACGAUUCGGUUCAUACAGUCAGACGACAAAUACAGUCAGUCAGAGGCUAUCCACUCUCCAGUCCAGAUGGGGGCAAAAUACAAAAAUAAUUGAAAAAUAAUUUUAUAAUUAGAUUUAGAAGUUAAUGCAAAACCUACCUUAUAUGCAAUUCACGUUUUUUUUUUUUUUUGUUAUGUUUUUUUUGUAUUAUUUGAGUGUUGAUAAUUAUAUCCUCAAAUAAAUAGCAACUGAAUUUAAUAGUUUGGGCUCUUUUGUUAAUUGUAAUCUUAUUAAUAUUAUAGUAAUGUGCAAGAAAGGGCUCCCUAUAUAGUUUACAGCAUUAGCUGAGAUAGAUUUUUUUAUCCAUAAAAAAUGCUAAUUAUGAUUUAAUUUAUAUAAAGAGAAAGGCACAAUUUGUUCAAUAAACCACAGUUUAAUAAAAAAGAAAAAAGAAAAAAAAAAGCAAUUUUAUGUUCGGUUUUCUCCCCUCUGCUGUAUCGAACCCAUACCGAACCGUGACUUCAAUACCAAGGAACAUACCGGUAAGUAGGUAGAUAGAUAGAUGGGUAGGUAGAUAGAUGGGUAGGUAGAUGGGUAAGUAGGUAGAUGGGUAGGUAGAUAGAUGGGUAAGUAGGUAGAUGGGUAGGUAGAUAGGUGGGUAAGUAGAUAGAUGGAUAGGUAGAUGGGUAAGUAGGUAGAUGGGUAGGUAGAUAGAUGGGUAAGUAGGUAGAUGGGUAGGUAGAUAGAUGGAUAGGUAGAUGGGUAGGUAGAUAGAUGGGUAAGUAGGUAGAUGGGUAGGUAGAUAGAUGGAUAGGUAGAUGGGUAGGUAGAUAGAUGGGUAAGUAGAUAGAUGGAUAGGUAGAUGGGUAAGUAGGUAGAUGGGUAGGUAGAUAGAUGGGUAGGUAGAUAGAUGGGUAGGUAGAUGGGUAGGUAGAUAGAUGGGUAAGUAGAUAGAUGGAUAGGUAGAUGGGUAAGUAGGUAGAUGGGUAGGUAGAUAGAUGAAUAGGUAGAUAGAUGGAUAGGUAGAUGGGUAAGUAGGUAGAUGGGUAGGUAGAUAGAUGGGUAAGUAGGUAGAUGGGUAGGUAGAUAGAUGGGUAGGUAGAUAGAUGGGUAAGUAGAUAGAUGGAUAGGUAGAUGGGUAAGUAGGUAGAUGGGUAGGUAGAUAGAUGAAUAGGUAGAUAGAUGGAUAGGUAGAUGGGUAAGUAGGUAGAUGGGUAUGUAGAUAGAUGGGUAGGUAGAAAGAUGGGUAGGUAAGCAGAUGUAUAGGUAGGUAGAUAGAUAGAUGGGUAGGUAGAUAGAUGGGUAGGUAGAUGGGUAAGUAGGUAGAUGGGUAGGUAGAUAGAUGGGUAGGUAGAUGGGUAAGUAGGUAGAUGGGUAGGUAGAUAGAUGGGUAAGUAGAUAGAUGGAUAGGUAGAUGGGUAAGUAGGUAGAUGGGUAGGUAGAUAGAUGAAUAGGUAGAUAGAUGGAUAGGUAGAUGGGUAAGUAGGUAGAUGGGUAGGUAGAUAGAUGGGUAAGUAGGUAGAUGGGUAGGUAGAUAGAUGGGUAGGUAGAUAGAUGGGUAAGUAGAUAGAUGGAUAGGUAGAUGGGUAAGUAGGUAGAUGGGUAGGUAGAUAGAUGAAUAGGUAGAUAGAUGGAUAGGUAGAUGGGUAAGUAGGUAGAUGGGUAUGUAGAUAGAUGGGUAGGUAGAAAGAUGGGUAGGUAAGCAGAUGUAUAGGUAGGUAGAUAGAUAGAUGGGUAGGUAGAUAGAUGGGUAGGUAGAUGGGUAAGUAGGUAGAUGGGUAGGUAGAUAGAUGGGUAGGUAGAUGGGUAAGUAGGUAGAUGGGUAGGUAGAUAGAUGGGUAGGUAGAUGGGUAAGUAGGUAGAUGGGUAGGUAGAUAGAUGGGUAGGUAGAUGGGUAAGUAGGUAGAUGGGUAGGUAGAUAGAUGGGUAAGUAGAUAGAUGGAUAGGUAGAUGGGUAAGUAGAUAGAUGACAGACAGACAGACAGACAGACAGAUAGAUAGAUAGAUAGAUAGAUAGAUAGAUAGAUAGA
Ctenopharyngodon idella (grass carp) is the source of this 2133-nucleotide long non-coding RNA. RefSeq lists it as uncharacterized. The record is from RefSeq and is a predicted model, not a curated record. Lineage: Eukaryota; Metazoa; Chordata; Actinopteri; Cypriniformes; Xenocyprididae. The transcript has 3 exons.